CACUAAUCUGAAAACAAAAGUGAAAACAGAAAGCCAUGGACUGGUACCGACCAGAGAGGUCUUGGAUUUAACGCGCAAUGCUGAGUCAACUGCUGAAAUUGAGAAUGGCUGGGACAGUGACAUGUCUGCUAUAUUGCUGCUCCUCCAUCUCCUACCACCAUCUGCACAGGGAAGGAAGAGGCCGGGGAAGGUGUCGGCAUGUCAGGCUGUGGAACACCUCAUCAGAUUCAUAAAAGCUGGAACCAGUGUACAGCAGCACCUGGAUAACAUCAGCCAAAGCAGCCAGCCCUACCUCCUCGCUCAGGGUCCUGCAAGAAGCAGCAUUCACACCUUCUUUAUUGUGAUUGACAAGUAUGCGCUUCCAUGUAAGGCAACAGGUUCAGUGGGAGCCCUAGACGAACUCUU
This is a long non-coding RNA of Limanda limanda (common dab), 405 nucleotides long. RefSeq lists it as uncharacterized. The transcript has 3 exons. Lineage: Eukaryota; Metazoa; Chordata; Actinopteri; Pleuronectiformes; Pleuronectidae. The record is from RefSeq and is a predicted model, not a curated record.